UACAGAGGGGGCGAGCGUUAUUCGGAAUUAUUGGGCGUAAAGGGCGCGUAGGCGGCUUUUCAAGUGAGGGGUGAAAUCCCUCGGCUUAACCGAGGAACUGCCUGUCAGACUGGAAGGCUUGAGACCGGGAGAGGUGAGUGGAAUUCCCAGUGUAGCGGUGAAAUGCGUAGAUAUUGGGAGGAACACCAGUGGCGAAGGCGGCUCACUGGACCGGAACUGACGCUGAGGCGCGAAAGCGUGGGGAGCAAACGGG
This 253-nucleotide ribosomal RNA is filed under the name uncultured bacterium. RNAcentral describes it as "partial 16S ribosomal RNA". It matches the Rfam family "Bacterial small subunit ribosomal RNA", at positions 524 to 776 of the family's 1533-position model. The record is from RNAcentral.